Molecule: non-coding RNA, 297 nt
Organism: Rattus norvegicus (Norway rat)
Lineage: Eukaryota; Metazoa; Chordata; Mammalia; Rodentia; Muridae
Source: the annotation of a RefSeq genome assembly
AUGUUGUUCCAGUUUCCAGGUGCCAGAUGUGACAUCCAGAUGACUCAGUCCCCAUCCUCCAUGUCUGCAUCUCUGGAAGACAGAAUGACUAUGAGUUGCUGGGCAAGUCAUAGCACUAGUAGUAAUUUAAUAUUCUUCCAGCAGAAAUCAGGGAAAUCUAAGCACCUGAUCUAUCUUGCAACCAGUUUGGCAGAUGGUGUCCAAUCAAGGUUCAGUGGCACUGUACGAGGGUCAGAUAAUUCUGUCACCUACAGCAGCAUGGAGUCUGAAGAUAUAGAAAUCUAUUAUUGUCUAUAG